GUGCUCACUUCGGCAGCACAUAUCCUAAAACUGGAACAACACAGAGAAGAUUAGCAUGGCUCCUGCGCAAGGAUGGCAUGCACAUUCGUGAAGCGUUCCAUAUGUUU
Small nuclear RNA from Gorilla gorilla gorilla (western lowland gorilla), 107 nucleotides. The record is from Ensembl. Lineage: Eukaryota; Metazoa; Chordata; Mammalia; Primates; Hominidae.